CCGCCCGCGUUCCCAAAAGAAAAACCUAGAACCCCCGUCAAUCUCUUCCUCUUUCUCUCUGGCGGCUGAGUUCUCAUUGAUCCCUCCUCCUCCGCCUCCUCCUCUGCCUCUGACGCCGCCUCCGACGCCGCCUCCGACAUGGAAUACCAACUUUUCUUCCUGUUUGGUCUUCAUCAUAUAGCAUUUAACUGCUAGUUUUCAUGUCUUACAUGUUUCAACAUAUUGUUGCUCUUGGCUUCAGUGUUACUCUCCCUUUUUUCUCAUAUAUACAGAUACAAAUGUCAGGUUACUGAUCUCGCUUUUUCAAGAUUUCAGAUUGCGUGCAUAUGGUCGUCCUUAUCUUGCAUACCAUCCUGGUCUUCUAAGAGAUACCUUGGCAUUUCAUGGUUGUGCAGAACUUUUUCAGGUGUUUGGUAUAUUGUGUAUGAGAGGAAUUUGUGCCUUGACAUCAUGGAUAACGCGCCACAAUGCCUACUCUUCAAAGCCUGCCUUUUGUUUGUAUUGCAAUGCAUGCCAGCCUCGAUUAUUUGAAUUUGGAAUUGAAUGUAGCACUCUUAAACUUAUAUGCUUGGGUCUGCAAUUCUAUCCUUUUCUUUUCGUUU
Long non-coding RNA from Asparagus officinalis (garden asparagus), 602 nucleotides. RefSeq lists it as uncharacterized. The record is from RefSeq and is a predicted model, not a curated record. Lineage: Eukaryota; Viridiplantae; Streptophyta; Magnoliopsida; Asparagales; Asparagaceae. The transcript has 2 exons.